Molecule: transfer RNA, 68 nt
Filed under: Stichopus horrens (warty sea cucumber)
Lineage: Eukaryota; Metazoa; Echinodermata; Holothuroidea; Aspidochirotida; Stichopodidae
Description: tRNA-Ala
Rfam family: tRNA
About the family: Transfer RNA (tRNA) molecules are approximately 80 nucleotides in length.
Source: RNAcentral
GUGGUUUUAGUUUAACAAAAAUAUCCGCUUUGCAAGCAGAAGAUCUAAGUUACUUCUUAGAUACCACA